UUAACUACUGCGCCAGCAGCCGCGGUAAUACGUAGGGUGCAAGCGUUAAUCGAAUUACUGGGCGUAAAGCGUGCGCAGGCGGUUCGGAAAGAAAGAUGGAAAUCCCAGAGCUUAACUUUGGAACUGCAUUUUUAACUACCGAGCUAGAGUGUGUCAGAGGGGAGGUGGAAUUCCGCGUGUAGCAGUGAAAUGCGUAGAUAUGCGGAGGAACACCGAUGGCGAAGGCAGCCUCCUGGGAUAACAUCGACGUCAUGGUCGAAAGCAAGGGGGAGCAAACAGGAUUAGAUACCUCUGGUAGUCCACGCCCUAAACGAUGUCAACUAGCUGUUGGGGCCUUCGGGCCUUGUAUGGCAGCUAACGUUAGUGAAGUUGACCGCCUGGGGAGUACGGUCGCAAGAUUAAAACUCAAAGGAAUUGACGGGGAUCCGCACAAGCGGUGCGGGAUGAUGUGGAUUAAUUCCGAUGCAACGCGAAAAACCUUACCUACCCUUGACAUGUCUGGAAUCCCGAAGAGAUUUGGGAGUGCUCGCAAGAGAACCGGAACACAGGUGCUGCAUGGCUGUCGUCAGCUCGUGUCGAGAGCGUUGGGCUAAGUCCCGCAACGAGCAACCCUUGUCAUUAGUUGCUGCCGAAAGGGCACUCUAAUGAGACUGCCGGUGACAAACCGAGGAAGGUGGGGAUGACGUCAAGUCCUCAUGGCCCUUAUGGGUAGGGCUUCAUCGUCAUACAAUGGUCGGGACAGAGGGUCGCUAACCCGCGAGGGGGAGCCAAUCCCAGAACCGAUUCGUAGUCCGGAUCGCAGUCUGCAACUCGACUGCGUGGGAAGUCGGAAUCGCUAGUAAUCGCGGAUCAGCAUGUCGCGGUGAAUACGUUCCCGGGUCUUGUACACACCGCCCGUCACACCAUGGCGGGUUUUACCAGAAGUAGUUAGCCUAACCGUAAGGAGGGCGAUUACCACGGUAGGAUUCAUGACUGGGGUGAAGUCGUAACAAGGUAG
This 997-nucleotide unclassified non-coding RNA is filed under the name uncultured Bordetella sp. RNAcentral describes it as "partial 16S-23S ribosomal RNA intergenic spacer". It matches the Rfam family "Bacterial small subunit ribosomal RNA", at positions 497 to 1499 of the family's 1533-position model. The record is from RNAcentral. Lineage: Bacteria; Pseudomonadati; Pseudomonadota; Betaproteobacteria; Burkholderiales; Alcaligenaceae.